CAAGACAAAAACAAAUUCUUGAUUCUCAAUUACAAAAGUAGAACUCUUAAUUAUAAAAUUUCUUCAACUUGCACAUAUAUAUAAGCAUGGUUGCUAGUAAUAACUUCAGCUUGCAUAUAUAAACAUUAGAUUUUGUACAAAUCCAAAAAAAUGGUUCAAACAAGAAUUGAAAUUAAGGCUCUUUUAUUAUUGAUGGUUCUUCUAAUUUCCUCACAAGUUGCAGAUGCUCGAGUUUCAUAUAAAGAAGGUGAGAAGAUGAUGAGAAGCUAUGCACGUUAUCGGUGCCCCCAUGGAUGUUGUAAUAUUGGUGCUGUUGCGGAUGCUGAUUCCGGUGCUCCUCGUACAGCCGUAGCAGCCGGGCCUCCCCCAUAUUGUCGCUGCUGCCUGUAACCCAACAAUAGCCCUAGAUGAGUUAUGUAAAAUUAAGGUGUUAAAAUAAAUAACUCCAUAAAGGAAAGGAAAGGAAAGUAAAGUUUCAAUUUACUUGAAAUUAAUGAGCUGUUGUCUGAUUUUGA
Molecule: non-coding RNA, 515 nt
Organism: Salvia hispanica
Lineage: Eukaryota; Viridiplantae; Streptophyta; Magnoliopsida; Lamiales; Lamiaceae
Source: RefSeq, a predicted model, not a curated record